RNAcentral lists this ribosomal RNA (466 nucleotides) under uncultured bacterium. RNAcentral describes it as "bacterial SSU rRNA". It matches the Rfam family "Bacterial small subunit ribosomal RNA", at positions 329 to 793 of the family's 1533-position model. The record is from RNAcentral.
UUCCAGACUCCUACGGGAGGCAGCAGUGAGGAAUAUUGGUCAAUGGGCGCGAGCCUGAACCAGCCAAGUAGCGUGAAGGAUGACUGCCCUACGGGUUGUAAACUUCUUUUAUAAAGGAAUAAAGUGAGGCACGUGUGCCUUUUUGUAUGUACUUUAUGAAUAAGGAUCGGCUAACUCCGUGCCAGCAGCCGCGGUAAUACGGAGGAUGCGAGCGUUAUCCGGAUUUAUUGGGUUUAAAGGGUGCGUAGGCGGAAUAUCAAGUCAGCGGUAAAAAUUCGGGGCUCAACCCCGUACUGCCGUUGAAACUGCAUCCCUUGAGUGCGCGAGAAGUAUGCGGAAUGCGUGGUGUAGCGGUGAAAUGCAUAGAUAUCGCGCAGAACUCCGAUUGCGAAGGCAGCAUGCCGGCUCCACACUGACGCUGAGGCACGAAAGCGUGGGUACCGAACAGGAUUAGAUACCCCGGUAA